RNAcentral lists this ribosomal RNA (460 nucleotides) under uncultured bacterium. RNAcentral's name for it is "partial 16S ribosomal RNA". It matches the Rfam family "Bacterial small subunit ribosomal RNA", at positions 338 to 795 of the family's 1533-position model. The record is from RNAcentral.
CCUACGGGAUGCCGCAGUGAGGAAUAUUGGUCAAUGGACGAGAGUCUGAACCAGCCAAGUAGCGUGAAGGAUGACUGCCCUAUGGGUUGUAAACUUCUUUUAUAUGGGAAUAAAAUGUUCCACGUGUGGGAUUUUGUAUGUACCCUAUGAUUAAGGAUCGGCUACCUCCGUGCCAGCAGCCGCGGUAAUACGGAGGAUCCGAGCUUUAGCCGGAUUUAUUGGGUUUAAAGGGAUCGUAGGUGGAUUGUUAAGUCAGUUGGGAAAGUUGGCGGCUCAACCGUAAAAGUGCAGUUGAGACUGGCAGUCUUGAGUACAGUAGAGGUGGGCGGAAUUCGUGGUGUAGCGGUGAAAUGCUGAGAUAGCACGAAGAACUCCGAUUGCGAAGGCAGCUCACGGGACUGCAACUGACACUGAGGCACGAAAGUGUGGGUAUCAAACAGGAUUAGAUACCCGGGUAGUC